GAUGAACGCUGGCGGCGUGCCUAAUACAUGCAAGUCGAGCGAACAGACGAGGAGCUUGCUCCUCUGACGUUAGCGGCGGACGGGUGAGUAACACGUGGAUAACCUACCUAUAAGACUGGGAUAACUUCGGGAAACCGGAGCUAAUACCGGAUAAUAUAUUGAACCGCAUGGUUCAAUAGUGAAAGACGGUUUUGCUGUCACUUAUAGAUGGAUCCGCGCCGCAUUAGCUAGUUGGUAAGGUAACGGCUUACCAAGGCAACGAUGCGUAGCCGACCUGAGAGGGUGAUCGGCCACACUGGAACUGAGACACGGUCCAGACUCCUACGAGAGGCAGCAGAAGGGAAUCUUCCGCAAUGGGCGAAAGCCUGACGGAGCAACGCCGCGUGAGUGAUGAAGGUCUUCGGAUCGUAAAACUCUGUUAUUAGGGAAGAACAAAUAUGUAAGUAACUAUGCACAUCUUGACGGUACCUAAUCAGAAAGCCACGGCUAACUACGUG
This 497-nucleotide ribosomal RNA is filed under the name uncultured bacterium. RNAcentral describes it as "partial 16S ribosomal RNA". It matches the Rfam family "Bacterial small subunit ribosomal RNA", at positions 28 to 507 of the family's 1533-position model. The record is from RNAcentral.